RNAcentral lists this long non-coding RNA (5586 nucleotides) under Equus asinus (donkey). RNAcentral's name for it is "lncRNA (ENSEASG00005032261.1)". Lineage: Eukaryota; Metazoa; Chordata; Mammalia; Perissodactyla; Equidae. The record is from RNAcentral.
CUGGCAUUUUAAACCCUUAUGUUCUAUGAAUUCCUGUAGAUAGGCUCCUAGAAUGGGGAGGGAAGUCUUCUGGAAAAACAAAUAUAUCUCUGAAGUUCACCUGGGUUUACAUUCUUCUAAAGGGCAUCUUCUGAGUCAGUCUAUGGUUUCCAGGCCAGAAAAGUGCAUUGAAUUCAGGCUUCAGCUGAAAAAGCAGGCCUAGGAAGACUACUCAGGAUGGCUUGACCCUGUAUGCAUUUGAUGCUGCGAUGGAGAUAUUGAUCCUCAUCUUAAGGAAAAAAAAAAUCCCUGUGGCACAGUGAGGUGAAGUAACUUGUCCAAAAUCACAAGGCAAAUAACUAGGGAACAUUCAAGGACCAAACUCUUCCAAAUCUAUGCCCUUUGCACAACGUGAUGGAGAAGAGAGGCCAGGAAACGUCUAAGUAGUCAUUAGCCAAGGCUCUAGAAAAACUAAAUAGCCUCCCCAAAUUCAACAUAGGGAUUCUGCUGCUUGCACACAAGGAAACAGGCAAAAAGAAUUCUUAGGGGAAAAAAUCAGCAACUUUGCAUUAUUUUUGAGGAGUGGGUAGAAGAACAAGACUCUGAAGCCUCUAUUGAGGCAGGUUAUAAAUGGCUGACAUCAGGAUGUUGAGAGGAAACUGGAACAGAGAUUAGAAAACCUGAGGACCAAGCUCCCUGAUCCCUAAGAGCGAACUCGGCAAGCACAUGAGUGCUCGUGGGGGAACUCAGUUCCCAGAGGGGCAUAGGGAGAGCCAACAUAAGGGUAAUAAAAAGCUUCACAAUAGGGAGAUGCCAAAACCAGACCACUGUCUGCCAACUCACUGCCUAUCCAGGCAGCACUGGGGCACAGACUAUAUAACCUAACAAUCUGACAUGAAAGAAGCCCUGACAAGUGAGGAACAGUUGGGAGGGGGGAUAGACAAUAGGGCAGUAGGGGUUCACUAUUCUAGUUUUCCUGUGGAGUUCAAAUGUGUAUGGUUUCAAAACAAAAAUCCAGAAAGAAACAUGAGAUUAAUGCAUUUAUUCCAAGUAAUUAACACAUUAAAAAUAAAGUUAAACUUGUCCAAGCCAACUCAUUCUUUAAUCUUUUGAACAAAAUGUACAACCCAAAACAUCACACUAUAGUGGAAAUAACUUGGGAAAGGGAGAGGUAGAGGAAGGAAUACAUAUGGGUUGAGGAACAGAGAAUCAGUCCAAUCCCAAAACAAGUUUCAGGUCGUCUACCUCUUCUAAACAGAAACAGCUGCUAAACAAUUUAACACAAAGUGUUACUGGAUCACAAUACAAUGAACAAAGGCCAUUUUGAAAAUAAAAGUGACCCAAAAAACAUAUCUGCUCCUGGCACUGAGCCAUGAAUAAGCCUUACCGAUUUGUCGUCUUCCAAAAGUGAGCCUGCUACAUUUUCUUCCAUGUUUACUGAGGCCAUUUCCAAACAGCUUUGUGGAUUAGCAGAACCAUCUCAAGCAAAGGCAACAGAAUGAGGGAAGUAUGGGGAUUGACAUGCCACGAGGAGGUAAACAGUAAACAAAAGAGCUACUCACGCUGCGUUUCAAACAAUGUUAAGGCAGGCCCAUCCAAAUAGAAGCCUAAGAGACGAACAAGCCUUCCUUCAUCAGUAGUUUUCCAUUUCAGCAGGUUUUUUGGUGUCUCUCCCAGAGAUCCAACAGCUGCCCAGGAAAUUAGGUGGGAAUACACACAGCAAUUGGAGAAGUCAACUCUCCGUUUCCCUCCUCCCCCACAUUCCAGAAAUGGCAGAGUCAAAGCCAAAAUACAAUCAAAGCACACUAUGUGGUGAGCCAGAUAGACAUCUGAUUUUAAUGACAAAGUAGGAGAAAAUAAAUUCGCAAAAAAAAAAAAUUAACAGAAAAUACUUUUUUACAGAUAUGUAUAGAAGUUAUGAUUGAUUUGUCUGGUAUCUUAAGGAGAAAGAAAAAAAGGAAAGGAGGUAAAUUUUUUAGCUUCCAUGAACAUUUACUGUAAGAUGCUGACAGCAUCUCUUGGUGUAGGUUCCAGACAAGAUAGCCAUUAGUCCUGGAUCAUCUGGGCACCUGAUUUCUAGAAGCCAAUCUGAUUCAUCCACAAGUAGCUCUGGAUACAUACUCAGUCUCGAACACUGGAUCCUGUGUGGUCCUGGAUAGCAUCAACUGCAGCUUCCUGUGCAGAUAUUUCCUGAGGGACCACAUUGCCUCCAUUGACCUGCUCCCUUGUAGGGGACCCUGAAGCCAGAGAUUUUACCAAAUUCAGAGGGUUGUCAGUGUCCUCAUCUACUUGAGGAAUUACUACCUCUGUGGUGGAUGCAUUCGGUAUUUCCAGCUGUAGUGGUCCCAUCUCCAGGGAACUACACCCAGGAGGGUCACCUGGCUCAGGGAGAGGAGAACAUAACUUUUCUUUUUGAACUCCUGAUGUCCGUGUGACAAAAUCAACAAGGUCUGGAAGGGAAUGAGAUGGCCCAAGGCCUGCAGGGUUAAUUGUUUCCGAUUCUGAUCUGAGUGAAUCUUGUUUCUCUAAUGAAGUUUCUUCUACUUCCUCAGGCAUCAUUCCUCCUGCUAACAGGUCAAGGGCCUGGUGUGUUCCCUCUAGGGUCCCUAAACCAAGGUCAACAUUUUCUAUAGGAAGUCCACUUUUCAAAAUGUUAGGAGUGACUCUCCCACUUCUGGGAUUAGAUGAGUUUUGUUCACCCUCUGCUCCAAAGUUAAGCACCAGGGUUUUGGGAGACUCUAAUGGAAACUCAGAAAAGGAUGUGACUGGUUCAAAGUCAGUGAGAGUGGAGGAAUUACAUCCUAUAGGUGACAGAGAAUUUUCUUCACAUACUUUCUGAGACAGAGCAGUUGGGGAUCUACGUGCUGGGUCUACCCGAGUAUUGGAGAAGUCAAUACCCAUAUCCCCUAGGGUCCCCAGGGCAGCCAGCUCUUCUACUUUUAAGUUGGUGACUUCAAAGUCUUCUAAGGCUUUGCUUUCUAUCGUCACUGUUAAUUCUGGAUGGACAUCUCUUGGCUCCAGGGCUUCUGCUUCUGUUUUCUCUGGGGUCUCACAGGUCUCUGGCUUCUUCUCGUUCUCAUCCCAAAUAGCCAGUUCACAGAUCAUUUUACCAUGAAAGUCUUUUGAUCUUUCUCUCUUGAGUUUGAGGCUUCUGUACCUAGAAGUUCUGGAAGCUGAUUCUGGAGCUGAAUUUUCUAGCCACUCUUCACUACCAGUUGAAACUCCUUGCUCCUGUGUACUAUCUUUUAAACACAUAUCUGAUCUGGCUGGGGACUGAAGAAGCAAUUCGGAGGCAGAAACUUUCACAGGUGUAUCUUGUGGGUUCUGGCAUAAAGAUGUAACUUCUGCUGGAAGUGAGCCUAUUUUUGCCUUUGUGGACGAGAGAGCCGGUGCACUCAAUUCGAUCACUACUUUACUCUGAGUAUCACUUCCUGUCAUCAAUUUCUUAGACUGUUCAGCCGUUUUGUCCGUCAUUUGCAACUUGGGCUGUUCUACUUCUCCCUCCCACAUGUAUCUGCUCCCAUGGUUGAAAUUAGAAUCCUCUCUGCUACUAGGCCCAACGUUGAUACCUGUUCCCUCUCCUAUCAUCCUCUCAGAGAGCUGUGCUCCCCUUUCUUUUAGUUCAGUGUUUGUCUCUAUGUCACUUUCUCCACAAUCCUUAGAUUGGUGGUACUCUUGGCUUUCUUCAACCUGGUCACCAGUUUCUAUAACAUGAGUUUCGACCAACUUCUGAGAUUCCAUGGUAUGACAAUGUAUAUCUGACAGCUGUGGGGCUGGCUCUACACCUGGUGGCUCUGGCUCUCUCCCUGGUGGCCCUGGCUCUCCCAGGUCAAGCUCAAUUUUUCCUUCUGAAGACAUAUCCCUAUUAGCAUCGCUCUGGAAGGAGCUAGAAGUCCAUACAGCCAAAGUGUCUGUCUUUGGGGUAACGGCUUCAUAAGGCCUGCUUUGGCACAACCUUGUCAGAGGCUGUAGGAAGCCAUAGCUGCUGCCUCUGCUUUUUGAGUCUAUGUGUUCUACAACUGACCACUUCCCUAGAGACACCAGAGGUUUUGCAAUGGGCUUUUCGGGGUUGCUGACUAAAGGAGCAGAGACCAAACUUCUAUCUGGAGGCAACUCCUCUUGGGAUGCACUGCUGUUCAAAGUAGAAGAGGUAUCUGAACUUUCGACUCUAGAGAGGUUGCUAUUUUCCCCGUUGGCCAAUGGACCACCACUCAGCUUAGUCUCAGGGGCUCCCCUUUCCACCACUACUGUAGAAUAUGUCAUACAGGUCCUUAGCAUUGGCUGUGGCUAAGCAUGAAUUUCGCUUUUCCAAUUUUUUGGCUUGUUCACUGAACACGCUUGAGAGGGGAGGUGGUGGACGUACUAACACAGAGAAAAGGGUCUGGUCCCGGUCACUCUCACUCACCCCAGGAGCUGUCUCAUCAGAAGGAAUGGCAGCUGGCUGUGCUGAGGCCAUGAUGGCUACCGGCAACACUGGGUUCAAAAUGUUAGGACCCAGGAAACCAGGGCUGAGAGCAUGAGCAACAGUCAGGUUUGAUUUCACUGGAGUCAAGAUAGCAUUUGCUUGACCAGGAGAUGGGGCAGCUGGAUGAGGAAUAACUGGGGGUGGUGGAGGAGGGGGCAGCAUUUGUUCAGGUAUAUGGGAUGGCUCAUUCUUUUCAGUCAGCACCAUUUUUUCCUCUGGAGACCCUUUCAGAAUCACCUCUUCCCCUCCAAAUGCUUUGGAGAUGAUGUCGGGAGGCAAGAGGAGAUCAGCUGAAGACUCUUUAACCACUGGCAGAGGCUUAGCAGUGGUUCCAGAGGACUUGAUAGAUAGAAAGGUGUUAAGAGGAGCUGGCUUGCUCACUGUGGCUGAACCUGACUUGCGGAGUACUGUGGAUGGGAUAGGCAGGUUGGGUCGGAUCUUGGUCUGGGUUGAAGUUGUCACAACAGGCAUCCAUGGGCUAGUAUGUGCAACCACAGUUUUCCCAGAGAGCUUGAUUUUGAUGGGCUUUGCCUUCCCAGCUUCAGCUCUGCCAUCCUCUUUGUCCUUACUGCUUUCCACAAUCUCUUCCUUGGGAAUACUUGGGGCCACUGAACUUUUCUCCUCCUCUUUUUCUGGCUUCUUCCAGCUGAACUUCCCAAAAGAGGAAGAUGCUGGUGAUUCUUUCUUUACCUCUUCUUUUAAUUGGAGCUUGAUGCUAGCCUUCCUUUUAUUUUCAGCCUUUUCAGGGGAGUUCCCACCCUCAGAGAGUUGGUCCUCUAAUUCCUCAGAGGCCCUGUCAUCCUCCUUUACUUCUUUCAUAAUCUUUGUCUUUUUUUCUUUCUUCUCUUCCUUUGGUUUCUCACUAAGUUUGCGCUUCAGCUCGCUCUGCCGUCGCCGUUCUGUCUCUAGGACCACAGCCAAGCCAGCCUGGCGGUCCAGAUUCCGCCGCUCCUCAUACAAUGGGUUUUCAACCACAUAUUUCUGGGAAGAGAAAAGAUAAAGGCUCAACAACUGAUCAAAAUACUAUAAGAGAGAAAAUCUUGGCCCUGCCACUGUUAGAAUUCAUGUAGUAGAAAGUCCUAGAAGAGUCAUCUUCCUCAAGGAUAUAUCCUUCCUCAAGGAUGUUAGUCAGCAUCUCUCAC